Molecule: long non-coding RNA, 7476 nt
Organism: Oxyura jamaicensis (ruddy duck)
Lineage: Eukaryota; Metazoa; Chordata; Aves; Anseriformes; Anatidae
Exons: 3
Source: RefSeq, a predicted model, not a curated record
AGACAAACAAAAACUUUGUUUUAUUUCAAAUUAAUCAAAAAACAUGCUUUACUGAUUCAUAUUUAAAUCUAUUCUCAUUUUAUUGCUGUGAGUCAGUUUAUCUUUCUGGUCUUUGGAUAAAGGGAAUUAGUACUUUAAAAAAAAAAAAAAUCUAUAUAGCUGCUCCAAGUCAUUCCAUUACUGCCUCUCUAGUUUUAAUUGCUUUCUGUGCAUGCGAGACCCUGAAUCUGAAUAAAGUAAGUCAUACUCUGAUUUUGGAAAACAUAUUUUGGCUCUGUUGGCUGUUGGCUUCAUACUUCAGCAUAGAGCACAGUCCCUAAGCAUUCCACUGCUGUGUAUUUGCAUGCAGGUUUCCUUUCUGCAGAGCAUUCACAGGAUAAGCACUUUGGCUUUUCUUGUUUAUACUCUGUUUGCUGCAUUUUCUCUUUGUUUACAAUUCUAGCACAUUUAAGCCCUGAUAGGUUAAAUGGAAGGGAAGACUUACAUCAUCUACAGUACUUCUGCCUGACCUACCCAGCAGAUACAUCUUGCUUUUAGAAAAGCCCAGUCAUUUUUCACCAGCACUUUGAGGUACAUUUAAAUCUGCUCUGGCAUCUGUCCAGCCCCGCAUAAUAUCAAGCCGGGGACAUCCUGUCUGAGAGAACAUAUUGUUAGUUCAAUUAUAUUCCUGAAAUCAAGUUAAAUUUCCAUGAAAUCUGCUUCAAAUGUGAAGAACCCUAGGGGAAUGUGUUUUUUCUUUUGUUUGUUUGACUUAUAUUACAGCAAUCAGGCAAACUAAAUGAGAUGCAUUGUAUAAGCGCAUGUUGUGUGUGCUGUUUAUGGCUAUGUGUUUGAUAAGAGUGAAGCAAGUAAAUUGAUAGUGCUGCCAUCUAUAGACAACACAAAGUUAUGGUACUCACAGCAUGAUAAAGAUGGAGGAGCUUGGACUUCCUGUCUAAUUUUCUAAUAAUGUUGCACUUCAGUGAAAAAGAAAAUAGAAAUGCUCCAAGCUUCUUCUCAGUAUGUUUAAUGACAAUUCCACAUUCAUGAAGAUUAAAUUCGCACUGUCUUGGGAUCGUUACUAAUCUUAGUAGAAUGAGAAGUGUGUUUUCCUAGUCAGUAUCAUGUCUGGUACACUGAAAAGAAUGGUAGUCUUACUGUAACACGUAACAUUUCAGUCUACUUUUUGGUAAAAGGACAGAUGGUGCAAUUUUUCUGGCAGAGAUCCAAACAUCCAUAUGGUACCAUAGCAUUCUAUAUUAAUUCUAAUGUUGUUUCAUUGAAAGAUAUCAUUCUGGUCAUAUGCAAAACUUUCAUGCUCAGUUAUGCUUUUUUGCCUUUUUUUCUCUGUUAAUUUUUAUUUAUUUUCAUAAGUUUAAAAGCCAUAUAUCUCCAUCUGCCACUUUUAUCCUUCUGUUUACAGUGAAUGUUUAUUUUCUUCCUUGCAUGUCAAAUUGCAUACAUAUCUUAAGAAGUAAAAUCUGGCAGUAACACAGAGUAACACAUCAUACAAAUAAGACAUACACAAAUUGUCCGAUUGAUUUCCAUCAGGUGAAGUUUUUAUUUUGUCAUGUAAAAGGUUAUAGAUUUUGGACUUACUUAUGUUGUUUUGUUUAAAAAUAUACAGAAUUAGUAAAGGCUUUGGCUAUUUUUUGGAGUACUUUUUGCUGACUGGAUGUUUGUUCUGCUUUUAUAUAAAUGAAUGCCACCUUUUUGCCUCUAUGAGACAAGAAACAUUGCCAUUGUCUGUGGAUUUUAUUUUUUGUCAACAAUUUCCCAGUGAAUUUUUACAUGGGGAUAAUAAAAAGGUCUAAAUAGCACAUAUUUCUAAAUAAUCUGCAAGCAUUAUUAAAGAGAAAAAGCAGUGAUUAGAGAUCAUCUCACAAACUGAUCAGAAUAAAAGAAUUAAUGCAUAUAAGAAGCAGGUAAUCAUUUAAUGAUUUAAUCAGGUUAGCAUGAUAUUUAAUCAGGUAUCAUAAUAAAUAAUGAUGCUUAGGGAAGUUGAGAAAUUGAGAAAGAAGGAAAAAAAAAAAAAAAGUAAACAAUUCCAGUUAACAGUAUUUGAAAGAAAUUAUAUGCAAACUGUCAGGAAGGCAAUAAUUCUAGGUUGGUAAAAGACAUAAAGAGUUGCCAGCUAUGCAUCACCAAAGACCGAGCAAGCUGAAAUACAGUCACAUCGUGGUUUUGACAAUGGUCAUAAAACACAAACUGUAGAACAGUACAAACUUUUCAAUAGCCACACUAAAUCCACAUAAAGCUUGCCUCUUCCUCUCUAAAGUCCUGGUAAGCUGAAGCAUUAACAUUGGUUCAGAUGCAUAUUUUCAAGCUUUACAUCAACUCAUUUGACAGCACAGCAUAUGCUGACAUCAGACUUCCAGUUCUACUCUGUCAUGAGCAUGAAGCUCAAUAGAUAACAUGCUAAUAAAUUAAAGGUAAUGAAGGGUAUGGCAAGCCUUACUAAAAUGACCAGGAAUUCUGCUAACAUUUUUAUUUCAAACAAGAACAGUCUAUGGAAUUGAGCUUCAGUGGGUAUCUGGAGUUUUGGAUUUCUUUCUUUUCCGGACAUGAAUAGGCCAUUGGUACAUCUUUAUUCAUCUUCUUGCACAUGUAAACAACUGGCAUUCAGUUCUUUGUGAGAGACAGGUGAUUUUAAAAAGACAGAAGGGAUAUCCACAUACAAGCAGUUUUUGCACUUAACUAUGGAAAAAAAAUUACUGAGUAAAAUAGUGAAUUUUACAAAAUGAAUUUUUUUUAAAAAGAGUGUAGACAUCUGUCCACAAUUGUUAAGUAAUUUAUGUGUUUGGAUACAGAGGAUUGGAGUUCAGGUGGGAUUUUCAGUCCUUCUCUGAUAGCUACUUAGCAAUGUACUUUUGAAAAUCCCAUACAUAUUUAGGCUUUUAAGUACAUUGUAAAUCAACUUUUCCUGAUUCAGUCAGUCACAGUGACCAAAUUUUCACUGAAUGAGAAGUUCAGGGCCAAGUCUUGAUAAACUGAAAAGAAGAAUGGCUUCUCAGUUGUACUAAAAACUCUUUUACACAUCUUUCACAGCACAGUGAAGCUUUUGUUGUUGUUGUGCUGUUCUUUAGGGUUUUGGGUUGGUUGGUUGGUUGUUUUUUUUAAUGAAUUGGAGGGUAAAUUCAAAAAAAAAAAAGUCUAAUAUUUAAGGCUCUGUAGAUGUUUCGAGGCUUAAGUUAAUGCUUACUUGAGUCUCUCAGAUGCAGUCAAUAGGGAAAUAGCAGAGUUGCGUGUGGAUUUAACCACCCCUCAGAUUACUUGAAUAGCCAUAUCUGAAAAGGAGCACUCAGAAGAAAAAUGUGCAUAUUGCUCACUCCCUUCAGCUCUUUUGUCCAAAAGCCGAUAAAAAUAUUAUUUAAAGGAGAGCUUAGACUAUUAAGUACUCCUAUUAAGUACUCUUGGCUUUCUAAGGCAUCAAAACGAAACCAAAAUAGAAAAAAAUCAAUUGUAUUUGUCUGAAUAUUUGUGUGGGACAUGCUUCUUAUCAUAUAGAGCCAAUGUCCAACUGAAAGAGGCCUCUGAGUGCUGCUGUGGCAGUAAUAACAGUAGUAAGUCUUGAAUCUCCUAAGUAAAUUCACCAUUUCUUUUGUCUAGAGCUCUGAGAUUCUCUCAGCUUCUUCAAUCUGUAUGCAGAUAGAUCCCUUUCUUACCUGAGACUACAUGGCCUAUGAGACUGUGUAUUCUUUGCAUCAUAACUGUACUUAAUUAAGAUCUCCAGUCAGUUUGAUCAUGCAAAUAACCCAAUAACCCAAAAAGAAUUGCCCCAAAACCACAUAGCAGAAAUUUAAAUAUUAUUCUUUCUUGCCUGAACGUGAAUUAGGAAUUUAAUGGGUGAAUAGGAAAUAGAAGCAGUCUUUAUGAAAUGUGUGGAAUCAGGUAUUUUGUCAGGGAGGUUAACUUGUUUACAGCCACUGUUUGUGAUACACAAGCCUGAGAACCAUUAGCCCAACACAGCAUAAAAGCUCACAGCUGAAAAUGUACUCUCUGCAAUUUUUUAUAUUUACAGAAAUUGAGGUACGCAAUUCUCUAGUUCAAAUUUGUAACACUUUUUUUUUUUUGAUUUAUCUGUGUACUCAGUCUCACUGGCUGAAUGGAAGAGCAUCUGUAGAUUUCAAAGUAAAUUUUGGUACAUCUGUAACUGAAACUGUCUCAAGUUCCCAUUGAAUCAGAUAAUUCUUAUCAGUUAUCCUUGAAGAUGAUAAGAAGAUCAAUACUGUCAGCAAGUGAAAAGCAGCACAAAAAUACAGUUUGGUGAAAAGAAGCUUCAUUGUAAUGCAAAAAACAUCUCAGUGCCCUAGCCAUUCUGGGAGUUUGUGUGCAAGACUUUGAGUGAUUUGAAUGCAGGGUUUCUGAUACAAUAAUUUCUGUCACGAAUGAGACCCACAAUGAUUACUUGUCCCUGCAGGGCAAAUGGACCUGCUCAUCAUGCAGGUCUUUGUAGAGAUAAUGUAUACACCUGUUAGGAAGAUUUAAUAGUUGUGGUUGAAAUACCGGGUCUGCAGCUCAAGGGCUGCGAAGGACGGUUGAGCUUUAAAAUCACUUGGAAGCAGCUGAUUUUAAGUUGCCAUGGCAAAGGAUUUUCAGACAAUGAGAAGCUUUUACAUUAAUAUCUUUGUAAGCCUUGUUGUGAUAGAAUUGUCUGUGUGAAGAGCAGUCUCUUUCUUGCUCCUGCCGACACACACACUGAUAAAAUCAUAAGGUAAUUAUAGAGUGCUGUAAUGAUUUUUGGGUUUCUUCUCUGAGAGUUUUGCCACAGGUUUAGAGAAUAUGUCUCUGGUAUUUUUUAUAACAGGGAACAGUAUUAUUCAACAUUUUGUUAUCAAAAAAUUAUAAAGAUACCCUUGUUUGCAAGAAUACCAAUAUAUGAAAACAACAUUGAUUUUCCAUUAUAUUAGUCCAUUAAUUUUUAGCAAUAACUGAAUAAAAGCUGUCUGCUUUUUACUUGAAAUGGAAAACAUUUACUUUGUCUAAUUGUCCUUAAAAAAAAAAAAAAAAAAAAAAAAAAACUUUGUGCCUGUGAUGGCCUGAGUGGCCUGAGUACUCUCCUAGUAUUUUGCAGCAUAUAUUUUACAAUUAGAUUCUGCGAUCCUCCAGUCUUUCUCCUUAGUACCUAAAACAUAGGUCUUAAAAAUGUGUGACCCAUCCAAGAUUAGUCUGAGACAAGAAAAUAAGUGUGUUUUUUUUUUUUUGGUUGUUUGUUUGUUUGUUUCUGUAGGAGGAAACUAGUGGAGUAUUUUGCAGGGAUUUAUUCUGAUUGCCUCUUGGGGGCAGAGGGUGUAGUGUUCACUCUUUUCAAGAUGGUUUGGAGUUGUCCUGGUUGUUGCUGGUUAAAGUUACGUUGGCUCUUAAGGCUGCUGCUGUCCUUUAUCUCGGGGCCAGAACAUUUCAUUGCUUAGCCGGCUGUGGCUGUUUGCUCAUGUGCUCGUUGAAUCUCAAUGCUAAAAGGACUGAAGGCCAAUACUAUUAUUGCUAUUUGUCUUUGCCAGCUCCCCAGAAGCUGAUGCAAACAGCAUUGGUAGCACACUGUAUGCCAGGAGCAGGGAACACUUAAUACCUGUGUCUGUUCUCUGCCACCUCCCAGAGGCUAGCUGCACUCCUGGGGGCUUUAGAGACAAGUUUCCUGAGAUGCCACUUUGCCUUCCUGUUGCAGAGACAGUCAGAAUGCAGAGGGGAAGUUUUCAGGCCAAAAAGGGCUUUGGGGAAAGCAGCACUGAAUCUCUAGCAGCACUGAAUCUCUGACAUUCACGCCUAGUGGCACUUUGUCAUAUUGAAAUUUAAUGGGCUUCAGGACAUAAAGUGAGGUGUAUUUGUUCUGACACACUUUUAAUUAAGGUUUUUAUCAAACACUUUUUAAUUUAAUUUUUACUUGACAUUGACCAUUCCUUGUUUGGGAUUCAGCAGGUCUGGAAAGCUUUCAGAUAGAGCUUUAAUUCGAGGCUUUUCAAUGUAAUUAUUAGUUGUGUAUUACAUGGGGAUGAAGCCAAUUCUUUAAGUUAGCACAGUAUAAAUGCUUAAUACGCUGAGCCGCUAUGCUAAUGCUAAUGCUAAUGCACAGGACGGGAAUCUGCAUUACAAUACAUCAUCCCCACUGUCUGUACUGCAACGCAGACAGACAAUUUACUCAGUUUAGUGACAGCAGCAGUACACAAGCAAUUGGGGCCUGACAAUUCUCUGUGGGUGUUAUUAAUUUAGUGCUAGAUUUUAGUUAUAAGAGGUACCCAAAUGCUAUCACAACAUACAAACAUACUUAAACAUGAACAAAUUGAUUGGAUUACAUAGAUAGAGUGACUGCAUUAAUCUCAAAUCUCUGAUUGACUGUAUUAACCUCAAAUCCAUGUAUUUAAGACUUGUGUUACUAGUUACCCAUAAGCAUGGAGCAAACUGAUGCACAGGUAGACAAAAGAAUACUUUGUUCAACAGCACAAGAUAUCAGUUGUUAACUCUUUGAAAUCAGCCAAAAUAUUUAAACUAAAUUAAAAUGAACAAUCUAGGAAAGCUUUAGAGAGGACUGAAAUCGUUCACAAUAGUAAUAAAAUAAUUGAAGGUCCUGAAAAUAAAAUAUCCCAAAGUUAAAAAACUAUAUCAAGAGAAGAUCAGUGAAAAACAAGAUAUGAAAUAAAGGAUGUUGAAUAGUGGGUGGGGAUAGGCUCAGUUUAUGUAACAAGAUAAGCUAGAAAAUGAAAUACAAAAAUAGAUGGAAAACUAAAAAACAACUGCAUUGCAGUUUCACAUAUUCGCAGUUCUUCCAAACAGCUUAAAGUGCAAUUUAAAGCAGCUAUUCACCUAGAAUAGGAGCACAGCGGGGCUUAAAUUCUCCAAUCUUUCUCCUAUCAUGCAACUGAAAAUAUGCUCACGACAUGACCAAAGUGCUGGUAUCUCCUUCCUAUCUGUUUGCAUGCUGUGGAUAGAAAAUGUCACGGUCAUAAGAUGUAUGUGCUUAUAGUCAAGCAAUACAAUGAGCCUUGUAAGGCUGCAGGAACACCAGAACAAGAAGGAUGGCAGGCAGCUCCUGCAGCCCAUGCCCCGCGGGACACAUGGAGGAGGAAAGGAGGACCUUGCAAACAAGGCUGCUGAGCUGUGGUUCUCCGUCCUGAAUGGUGCAAUCCAGACACUCCCCAGACUGCAGGAAGGCUUUCUACUUUUCUGAUCGAUUUCGUUCUGCAAAGACCUGUCUAAAGACCUUAGCUUGUUUGAGCAGAAAGUGUUGGAGCUGUUACUGAUCUGAGUAUGCAAGACAGCCAUUUAUUUGGGGGAGGGAAUCCUUUCCCUUAGGGUAAGUUUAGAUAACUGUAACCUUUGAAGAGUAGAUAACACCACUGCUUUUUUAAACUGUGCGAACUAGGCUUGUGUUUUCCAGGGAAGUUAGUUGCAAUCUUCUUUCUUUGGUAUAGGGAAGGAACAGCAAUUCCUGCUGAACUGAUUCUCAGAGACAGGAAGCUGUGGAUCAUCCAGUAGUGGUAAAGGCUAAAGUGAUAAAACCAG